CGUGCUACAAUGGCGCAUACAAAGAGAAGCGACCUCGCGAGAGCAAGCGGACCUCAUAAAGUGCGUCGUAGUCCGGAUUGGAGUCUGCAACUCGACUCCAUGAAGUCGGAAUCGCUAGUAAUCGUGGAUCAGAAUGCCACGGUGAAUACGUUCCCGGGCCUUGUACACACCGCCCGUCACACCAUGGGAGUGGGUUGCAAAAGAAGUAGGUAGCUUAACCUUCGGGAGGGCGCUUACCACUUUGUGAUUCAUGACUGGGGUGAAGUCGUAACAAGGUAACCGUAGGGGAACCU
Molecule: ribosomal RNA, 293 nt
Filed under: Escherichia coli
Lineage: Bacteria; Pseudomonadati; Pseudomonadota; Gammaproteobacteria; Enterobacterales; Enterobacteriaceae
Description: partial 16S ribosomal RNA
Rfam family: Bacterial small subunit ribosomal RNA
Source: RNAcentral